CAGCAGCCGCGGUAAUACAGAGGGUGCGAGCUUUAAUCGGAUUUACUGGGCGUAAAGCGUGCGUAGGCGGCUUCUUAAGUCGGAUGUGAAAUCCCUGAGCUUAACUUAGGAAUUGCAUUCGAUACUGGGAAGCUAGAGUAUGGGAGAGGAUGGUAGAAUUCCAGGUGUAGCGGUGAAAUGCGUAGAGAUCUGGAGGAAUACCGAUGGCGAAGGCAGCCAUCUGGCCUAAUACUGACGCUGAGGUACGAAAGCAUGGGGAGCAAACAGGAUUAGAUACCCCUGUAGUCCCUGUCUCUUAUAC
This 301-nucleotide ribosomal RNA is filed under the name uncultured bacterium. RNAcentral describes it as "partial 16S ribosomal RNA". It matches the Rfam family "Bacterial small subunit ribosomal RNA", at positions 509 to 807 of the family's 1533-position model. The record is from RNAcentral.